AGUGCUCAUUGCACGAACGUAUUACGCCAUCUCUCGUAAGCGAAACGACGAGUCAUGAUCGGUCAUGAAAGAGUACUAGGCGCUUCGUCUAAACAACACCGGAAGUUGAUGACGUCCGUUCCUGAGUCAAGAUACCGUUUGGCACCGUUUCAAACCGAUAGCCCAUUUCCUGGUGAACAAUACCAAACCUUAUCUAACAAACAAAGUAAAAAACAUUUUUGAUGAUUAAUCAUCGCUAUUGUCUUCCUAUUAAAUCCACCCACGAAAAGACCACAGCAAUUGGAACGGAUUCAUAAACGAUUUAUUAGUCAUCAGAGAUGUCGAAGAGGCCAUUACAAAGUUCUGAUUGAAGAAAAUGAAGUCAAGUUUCUAGUCAGCAGUUUGUUGAAGAAGAAAGUAUAAGGAAAGCUUAGAUAGAGUAGAGAAGGGGUGAUAUGAUAAGAGGGAGGGGAAGAGGAUAGAGUACACUGCCGUUAGGAAGUCUUUCACCAAGUAUUUUCGGAGCAAAGACUUCCCGGUGCAGAGAUCUUCGUCAGGUCGAGUCUUACAAAUUGCGGCACGGGUGCAACGUACCUGUUGUUUACCACAUAGCGGGUUCAAAGCCCGGUCAGUACAACGGUCCUUUCCUUCCUUCCUUACCCUGCUCAACUCUCUUCUGUCUCUGUUUUUCUCCCCACCGUCGAAGAUAUAAAGAAAGAGAGAGAGACAAACAGAAAGACAGAAAGAAAGAGAAUCAGCAAGCAAGUAGAAAAGAGAAGAUCAUCCAUCGUGUAGUCCAGCAAGGCAAUGCAAGGCUGAGAAAGAAAGGAUAAAGAGAAAGAGAGAGAGAGAGUUGGUAGUAGGCCGUUCUUCCAACUCUUCUUCGAGGAAGCUCAACACCAGAAGCCGUUCUCGUCUCGUCUGCAAAAUGGUAUGGACGAACUGACGCGUCCAGGAGUUCCUCUUCAUCCUUUUUUCGCUCCUUCUCUCUCUCUCUCUCUCUCUCUCUCUCUCCUUUUAUCUUCAGUAGAGAGAGAGAGAGAGAGAGAGAGGAAUAAGUUUUUUCUAACAGCAUCAGCAACAUCAGUUAGAAGUAGAAGUAGGUACCACCUGUUCAGUAUCAAUAUACCUGGCAGGGGGUACACUGGACUUUUCCUGGAUAACGGAACCAACUUAGAAAUCUGUUAUAAAUCCGUUUGAUUCAUAUUUCAAGAACACUUAUCUUUUAGCACAUGGAUAUAUGAUAUAGCAAAGAAAAGAAGAUAACGUUUGAAAAGUCCGAAGAGGAAGGGUUGAGGAUAUAAGACAUACAGGAAGGGAAAGAGAAACGAAAACGAUGAAAGUAGGGUUGAUAGUGAACCCGAUGCUCCGAAGAAGAGGACCGGAUUGGCCAAUCCGGCCAAGCUCCGUACUACGGCGUAGUACUCCAGAGGGACCAGGGUUCAAAGCCCGGUCAACACCAUGUCCAUACUUCUUUCUCUCUCUCUUUCGUUUCCCCCCACUCAAGUUCUUCUGUUUUCUUCUGUUCGUGUAUCUCUCCUCUCGGCCAUUUCACGAACACAAACCUCUCGGCAAUAACACAACACGCAAACUGGGAUCACUCUUCUCUUCCUCCUUCUCCUCCUGUUUCUCUCCCCCUCUUCUUCUUCUCCUUCUUCUUCUUCUUCUUCGAGUCUUGCUCCUCUUUGCCCUGAGGCUGUUGUAUUCGGGCUCUGCUGGUGAUUCACCAUCGGCCGAAGAUAAGAGGCCAAUAAAAAGAGUGCGAUUCAGAGCGAAUGGAUGCGGGGAGGGACUAAGGGAUCGGAAGGGAGAGAGAGAAAAGGGUAGAGACACAAGGGGAAAGGAAAGGGAUGACUACGUGAUCCGCAUCACGGUGGACCAAAAGGUUCCUGGUUGUGAAUUCAAUAAAUUAUUCAUAUUUCAAGAAACGUACACUGAACGACGAGGAAGCUGCGUAUCCAUGAAUAAUAUCGAAGAUAGAAAUAUCUAUGUGCUCGUACACCAAGAAGGAGUCUCUGCAAAUAUCAGACACACAAGUUGGCAUGGGAAUUUAGAAACCGGAUCGAGUAAAGCAACCCAGUCUCUCACAUAGCAACAAGGAAACCUCUUAAAGAAUUUCCAUCAUGGUUUCUAUGUCCGAGUCGUAAAUCGAAGAGGAGUUCGGUUGAGCUAGGAAAAGUCUUGUCCUCCCUCCGUAGUUGUUCAACAUUGUGGGAAGACCACCGCCAAGAACUUUUUCCUGGAUAUCUUCUUCUUGCAACACAGCAUUUAGUAUACUAGUUGAAAGUAAUAGAAAUAUAUUAUUACAACAGUUCUACAUUGAUGAAUUGUUAGGAAGAACAAAAUCGAACAGACCAUAAGAAAGGACAUUUGGACAUGGACAAAAUAUAAUCAGUCGUCAUGUAAGACACUUUGUAUGACGGUAGCUCGACGAAAAACUUUCCUUUUGAAGCGUGCUACCCUCCUAAAGGUCAAUGAUCGAAAAAUGACCUGCAUCUCUUCGUGCAGCUCCCCUCUACUUCUACUUCUUUUUCUUUUUCUUCUACUUCUCCUUCUUCUUCUCUUUGAAGUACGACGUAGCACAAAACAUGCAUCUUCUAAUGGUGCUUAACCCUUAAACGGUGAAACAAAGGGUUCCCUCUUCUUAGGAAUUCUAUGAAAAUGAUCUUGAAGGUUUAUAACGUUUUCUUGGAAUAUUAUUUUGAAGAACCUUGUGGCUCGUCGUUUAAUUUAAUAGAACUGUUAGCUCAAUUGCGGUUUUAAAGUAAUGAACUUCUUAAGGAAAAAAAAAAGAUUUUCAAGGCUCACAUCUAUUUAAUCCUUUUAAAGACAUAAAAAGAGAAAAGAUAAUAUCGUGUGAAAAGAGAAGAGAAGGGAAGAUAAAGGAUAGAAGAUAGAAAAAGAUGAGGCGAUAUCAAAGAAGAGAGACAGCCUAGAGAAAGAGAUACACGAGGUGAGGAAUAAGAAACUGUAAUUGCCAGGCAAUGACUUUGCUGCAGAAAUUGCUUCAGCGUCGCGUGGAAACGUUGGUGUUAAAGUAGCGUGGAGAGAAGCUCCUUUCUCUUUCUCUCUUUCUGAGAAACAGGAUAAAUCCGGAGAGAGAGAAAACGCUCCGGUACAAAGUACUGGAACUCGCACAAGAAAUUGUGGAACUGAGCUUCGCAAACGAAUAUUCGCGCGAUUAAGAAAAAGAGAAAGAAAAAGGAUAGAAAGAGAACGGGUAAAAUAAAAAUGAUGGGUUAAACAAA
RNAcentral lists this long non-coding RNA (3227 nucleotides) under Polistes fuscatus (common paper wasp). Its description in RNAcentral is "uncharacterized LOC122515851". Lineage: Eukaryota; Metazoa; Arthropoda; Insecta; Hymenoptera; Vespidae. The record is from RNAcentral.